UAGUGAGUUUGAUCUGGCUCAGGAUGAACGCUGGCGGUAUGCUUAACACAUGCAAGUCGAGCGAGACCUUCGGGUCUAGCGGCGGACGGGUGAGUAACGCGUGGGAAUCUGCCCUUGGGUUCGGAACAACAGUUGGAAACGACUGCUAAUACCGGAUGAUGACUUCGGUCCAAAGAUUUAUCGCCAAAGGAUCGGCCCGCGUUGGAUUAGGUAGUUGGUGGGGUAAUGGCCUACCAAGCCGACGAUCCAUAGUCUGGUUUGA
Molecule: ribosomal RNA, 262 nt
Filed under: uncultured Pseudomonadota bacterium
Lineage: Bacteria; Pseudomonadati; Pseudomonadota
Description: uncultured proteobacterium partial 16S ribosomal RNA
Rfam family: Bacterial small subunit ribosomal RNA
Source: RNAcentral